Raphanus sativus (radish) is the source of this 524-nucleotide long non-coding RNA. RefSeq lists it as uncharacterized. The transcript has 3 exons. NCBI's taxonomy places the organism in Eukaryota, Viridiplantae, Streptophyta, Magnoliopsida, Brassicales, Brassicaceae. The record is from RefSeq and is a predicted model, not a curated record.
AUCAACGGAUACGUCUCUGAGACGUCUCCCAUCUCUGACCAAACCCGUCCCCCUUAAGCCAUGCCGUCCCGGGUUCACCUUACAUGUGUCGGGGACGUUUCCUAGGCGUACCCGAGACGUACCCGUCCCCCUGCCGAACCCGGUACGCGAGACGGCACCCGUGAGGCGUACCCGUGCAACCUAGGUCAACCUUUUCUUUAGUGGGUAAUGUUUAAUACUCGAGAUUGGUUUCAUAGGAAUUCAUGUUUAGUUAUGGCUCAGAGGGAGCUACUUUGGGUGGAUUUACAUAUUACUUAAACCUCUUUUUGGUAGUCAGGCUACUGAUUGUGUCUCCAUCAUGUCUAAUAGGACCCAAAAGAGAAAGCAAAGUCAGAAACAAGAGAUUGGUUGAACAAUGUGGUGAGUGAACUCGAGCUAUGGAUGGUGUUUGUUCUGCUCUGUACACUGAUGAAGAAUUGAGGCUGAGAUAUGCUAUAAGGUUUGUUUGUAAAAUCCUACCAAUAAUCUAUAAUUUUUGGAUUGUC